This 348-nucleotide unclassified non-coding RNA is filed under the name soil metagenome. RNAcentral's name for it is "partial contains 5.8S ribosomal RNA, internal transcribed spacer 2, and large subunit ribosomal RNA". The stretch from base 1 to 120 matches the Rfam family "5.8S ribosomal RNA", at positions 35 to 154 of the family's 154-position model. The record is from RNAcentral.
GAUGAAGAACGUAGUGAAAUGCGAUAAGUAAUGUGAAUUGCAGAAUUCAGUGAAUCAUCGAAUCUUUGAACGCACAUUGGGCCCGCCAGUAUUCUGGCGGGCAUGCCUGUCUGAGCGUCAUUUCAACCCUCAUGCCCCUAGGGCGUGGUGUUGGGGAUCGGCCAAAGCCCGCGAGGGACGGCCGGCCCCUAAAUCUAGUGGCGGACCCGUCGUGGCCUCCUCUGCGAAGUAGUGAUAUUCCGCAUCGGAGAGCGACGAGCCCCUGCCGUUAAACCCCCAACUUUCCAAGGUUGACCUCAGAUCAGGUAGGAAUACCCGCUGAACUUAAGCAUAUCAAUAAGCGGAGGA